This 460-nucleotide ribosomal RNA is filed under the name uncultured bacterium. Its description in RNAcentral is "partial 16S ribosomal RNA". It matches the Rfam family "Bacterial small subunit ribosomal RNA", at positions 338 to 795 of the family's 1533-position model. The record is from RNAcentral.
CCUACGGGGCGCAGCAGUGAGGAAUAUUGGUCAAUGGACGAGAGUCUGAACCAGCCAAGUAGCGUGAAGGAUGACUGCCCUAUGGGUUGUAAACUUCUUUUAUAUGGGAAUAAAAUGUUCCACGUGUGGGAUUUUGUAUGUACCAUAUGAAUAAGGAUCGGCUAACUCCGUGCCAGCAGCCGCGGUAAUACGGAGGAUCCGAGCGUUAUCCGGAUUUAUUGGGUUUAAAGGGAGCGUAGGUGGAUUGUUAAGUCAGUUGUGAAAGUUUGCGGCUCAACCGUAAAAUUGCAGUUGAAACUGGCAGUCUUGAGUACAGCAGAGGUGGGCGGAAUUCGUGGUGUAGCGGUGAAAUGCUUAGAUAUCACGAAGAACUCCGAUUGCGAAGGCAGUUCACUGGACUGCAACUGACACUGAGGCUCGAAAGUGUGGGUAUCAAACAGGAUUAGAUACCCGAGUAGUC